UCGUAGGGCUUCUGCCCUGUCGAGAUAGCGUCCUUGCCUAUUUUUUGGAGUACCUUUUCGUUUCCUCAGCAGGCUUGCCUGCUACUGGGGACCCUUUAAACUCUUUGUAAAUACAGCAUCUGUCUGAAUAAACAAACAAAAAUCA
Molecule: unclassified non-coding RNA, 145 nt
Filed under: uncultured fungus
Lineage: Eukaryota; Fungi
Description: sequence contains ITS1, 5.8S rRNA gene
Source: RNAcentral